This is a long non-coding RNA of Mustela lutreola (European mink), 6722 nucleotides long. RefSeq lists it as uncharacterized. Lineage: Eukaryota; Metazoa; Chordata; Mammalia; Carnivora; Mustelidae. The transcript is spliced from 3 exons. The record is from RefSeq and is a predicted model, not a curated record.
CACCCAGAAUGAUCUUUUUAAAGUCAAAGAGAAGCAGAAAGCACAUUGUUUUAGAUACCAAGUUGAUACUUCUCAUUCUCAGCAAAAUCUAGCUUUGAAUGUGUAUUUCUGAAAAGGUCACGAGGGAUGAUGAAAUGCGUAUGGGCUGUGACAUACAGUUCCUGAGGCAGAAAUGGAACUUUCCAGCAUUUCCUCUCAUCUCAUCCUCCACCCCGGGGGCAAGGCCUUGACUACUGCCCCCCAUACCCAACCUUGGGAGCUUCCUGUCCAGGGCCGGGCUGUCCCACAUCUGGUGGCCAGUAUUUUCAAAAAUUAUCCUUUCUUCACGGACUAGGACUUUCAGCAAUACCGCUAGCAAGAACCAAGGUGCUCCUUUUAAAUGUUUUGUUAUUCUUUUUGCUCACUAUUUGAUCAAGAUACUAGAGAACAGGGCAGCUGGCCGGCUUAGUUGGACGAGUGUGCGACUCUUGAUCUUGGGGUCCUGAAUUUGAACCCCACAUGAGGUGUAGAAAUGACUUAAAUUAAAAAAAAUUUUUAAAAAGAAAAGAGAAAGGAACUAAAAAUCAAUUUAAAUGGCCAAAGAGUGUUUGUAAGUUAAGUAUUAACAAUUGCAUCACUCUCUAUAUAAAGAGAAAAGAGUUCUAUCAAAUGGAAGUUUCAGAGCAAGAGAUCGAGAGUGGACCCAGAAGAGGGGGUUUCAUUUUGGGGUGUGUGUGUGUGUGUGUGUGUGUGUGUCUGUGUGUGCUUUAAAUACAGUCUGUAGAAGGAGGAAGAAGACCAGUGUCUGGUCAAAUUCUGCAGACCAGAAAGUUGAUUUUGUGCUCUGUGUUUGUCGUAUUGGCAGACUUCUGGAUUGGCAGUGGAGUAGUUUCUGUGUGCGUGGAUGAGAUUACAGAAGCAUUCAAUGUGUUCCAAAGUUCAGGGCUUGUUAGUUCAUUACACUGUUUUUAGAAACCUUUUAUUUUACAAGGCAGUAUUUCAAAUUUUGGUUUUGGCAACUAAGAAGCUUUGAAGUUGGGGUAAUGCUACGUUCUGACCACUGAGGGAAAGGGUGAAGUUAGGUAAGCUAUUACUAAAUCUUAGCAUGAGAACAUUUGAAGGUGGAAGAAAACUGUAAUUUGGUUAGAGGCUGGACAUUUAGGGCAGAAGGGGGCGUGGAUUUUUUUUUUUUAAUUGAUUUCAGUUGUUUUACAUUAUGAUUUUGAAAGAGGCUCAGACUAGUUAGGGAUCUCUCUAAUGGCUAAGCAGGGGCCUAGCCCAAUAGCCUUUGUACAAAGUUUUCACCCCUCACAGAGACACGCAGCAGGACCUUAUGAAUGACCCCAUCUCCAGGGUGGAGUGCCCCCGGAGAAGACCGCAUGGACAACUUCUCGAAUCACUCUCUGGGGUCUGGGAAAGGGAGGGAGCCGCCCUGCUUCCAUCCUCCAGGCCCCCCGAGAGCAUUUGGUGGGGAUGCAUGGGGGACAGCUGGAGGCCCUCCGAUCCAGGCCACCUGUGGAAGGGCCCCUGGGACCCCUGCCGUCAGCGGUCCCUGCUCCAUGUUGCCUCCAGAGCCCCAAGUCUGAACUGCCCCGCAGGGUAGUUCCUCCCCCCGAAGGAAGGAAGCCCAUGGAGUUCCCCGAGCUGUUCCAUGUUUGUUAGUGAAAGCCGUGCUGGGAGGGGUCCCUAGCCGUCCUGUGGGACAACCCCAAUAUCUCACAGCUGCUCUAUUCUAGGGCCUCUGAUUCUGACUUCCAGUUCAGCAUCUUUCCAUGGCAUGCUUAUGGAGCUCUGAAAGGGAGGAUGGUGGUUCAGGGAUGUGACCAGAGGUCCACGGAGGGCCUUCCACAUGGGCUCGGAUUGGGUGAUGGAGCAAGUUAGGCGUUGGCAUCCGAUUCCAUCCUCGCCUGGCCUGGCACCCAGUCUGCUCUUGGUAUACUGAUUAUACCACCUUACUGAUGAAGCCUGAGCUAGGAUGCUGGCCCACCCCCCACCAACAGGGCGAAUUUUGGCAAUUUGUACAAACUAUUCGUUUCUUCACUUCCUCUUUCAUGUAAGAAAGUCAUGGCACCUACGUUGUAAGGUCAUUGUGAGAAAUCAGUGAGUGUGUGAAAAGUGUUUGUAGCAUUUCAUGGUGUUUAGUAAGUGUUCAAUAAAUGCUAGCUCUUCUCAGGGAUUUGAUAGGACGUCCAGGAACAUGUGCUGUGCUAGAAUUUUAACAUAUUUAUACUGUAAAGCCUGAAUAAUGAGCCGUGGUUUCAGGGACCCACCUAGAAAGCGUCCAAGCCGUAUCUGCAAUUGUACAUGCCUAUGCUGUUGUCAAACAGCUUUAUUGAGAUAUAGUUCAUGUACCCAUACGUGCUUCUAUUUUGAGAGUGGGAAAUAUUCUAAAUCUGGAAUUCUGGCCAAGACUGAAAUAAUAUGACCAUUACUGGACAUGCAAAUCUAUAAAUAGGAUUUCUUUUAUGUAUUAUUUCCCACAGCUAGAACUGUGUCUGGUUAUCUUGACAAAGAAUUGCAUUUUCAAAAGCAAUAUGAAUUACAUAGCUCAAAUUAAACAUUUUGUAAUAAUUCUGUUACCUUGACCUAAGUCUCUUCUUGGCAGAUCAUGAAUUCUGAACGUAUACAGCGCGAUGCGAUUAUACCCCCUUACUGAUGAGUGUCUACAAGGAACUAAGUAAGAUCGUGGGGAUGCAUCCAGCAUUUUUAUUAUCAAAUGUGGGUGUUUAUUUUCAUAAGCUGCUUUGGUUUCUAGCACUGGCUUGAACUGAGCAGGCGAGAACAGAAGCAAUUCUGUGGCCCUGUUUACUGAAUCAACAGAUGCGCCUUGUCUCUUCCAGACUUUGACAUUUCUACAUUUGACAUGGUAUUCUCUUUUGGUUAUGUGUCAUGGACUUAGAAAUAAUAUUUCCACAUCACGCACAUAGUAAGCUUUAUCUGGAAAAAUGCCAUUUCUCAUUCUUCCAUGCUGAUUUAUUUUGGGUUGACAGCCCUCAAGAUCUUCAAACAUUUGCUCUUUGGAAGAGAAGAACUAAAUGUCUCACAACUCGACACUCGCGGGUAUUGCCCUGGUGUAAAUGUCUGCACACAGCACCGCAGUCAACUGCAUUCUUCUCCCACCCCCAUCGUUGCUGCCUGUAUGCGGUAGAAUUUUCUAGAAGGGAUUCCUGAGUGCUCAGGCAUAGUCAAUGGAACGUGAAAUUCCUACUAAUUUCAUGGUUCUGAAAGUGAGUUGCUCACUCCCAGGUCACAUAAGUAUGUCAGCUUUUCAUCUCUUAAGAAAUUCAAAAAAUGCUCUAGAAACCUGAGAACCAUGACCAAUUACCUCUUUUUAAGUUUUGCCUAAAAAAUAACAUAUCAAUAAGAUCACUGCAAUACCUCACUGCACCUCAUACGGAGUUUCUUAUACAUGAAUGACAUUAUUAACAUUUAAAAAAACUCGACAAUAUUUUAAAUCUUUCUUUAACUUUGUUUCCAAAAGGUUUAAUUUUUCUUGUCCUGCUAUUUUUACUAGAAGCCUCUAAUUAUUGGAAAUGCUUGAGGCAUGGGAUUUUUUAUUAACUAUUAACCAGUUUAAUUAGAACUGAGACUGUCCCAAACCGUCAAACAUAUUUCAAAUGUUGCUUGAAUGGAUAACGACUAUUAUUAUUAUAAACAAUACGGUAGAAAACUGACGGUAAACGAUAUUUCCCAUAAUUGGGUUUCUGAAAUGAGAGUAAGUCAGAGUAAUACCUGUUUCACAUCAGAAAGUUAAUAGACCGUGAUGAAUCUUGGAUGUUCUAGAGUGCGAUGGGCGCUAUCUGGUGGGUCUCCUUACACCCAUGGGGACGGUAGGUGUUAAUUAUCUCAGUUAUUCUGAUUAAAAGACUCGGGUUCUCAGAAGGCUCCCGAGGAAGGACCAGGUCGCUCUGAUCACUGGGGCCUCAGCACGUGUCACAGCACCUGCAGUAAAGCUGGGCGCGCCUGUCAGCAGCCGUCAAGGGAAAGGUGUUUCUGCAUGGCUGACGUCAAGCGCGAGUACUCUAGAUUAAACUGCGAGGAAGACUGAGGUAUGUAUGUUCUGACCCCAGGAUGUUGUCUUAAAGAAACACACACUUCCCCAAGCCGCUUACUUGUCAUCUGGAUACUGGCCAGAUACGGACUCAACACUGAGUUUCUGUUACUUCCAGUGCCGAAGUGAAAUGUGGAGAACAUGAUCCCGUUUUGGUUUUGAUGUGAUAGGCAAGACUCGGAGCUGUUGCAGACAGACUUGGUGUGAAGACUCUUUGGCAUGUUAGCCUAGUCCAGGGUCUAAAGGAGCUGAUCACACCUUGGGGAGGUGACUCCCACCACCGGCUCCGGCUGAGACGGAUGUCUGCGUGUUGCUUGGUGAGAACCAUGUCACCUCCUCUUGCCUCCCACCCGCUGACUUGCCCCUGACCUCGGGCAUGGCUCCCCCUGGCCCUGGCAAUCCCGACUCCCGUCACAGAGCUCUGGGGUGACAUUGGAUUUCUGCUCAGACCCCAGCAGAUGGUCUGGGGGUGGUUAUCUCCAGGGACUUUCUGCGGUCGAGCUGAGGGGAGCCCGGCCCUGAGCACAGAGGCCGUGGGCUGAGACGCCAGAGAGCUGCUGCCGUUUCUGAGAAGGGAAGGGAGCCAGCUGCCUCGAGAGAACAGAGAGAAGCUACAGAGGGAAGAUUGCUGCAGGUGUCAAGGCCGCCUCUGCGCAUUCUUGAGGCCCAGCUGCAUCCGCGGCCGUCCUCACAUUUGGCUCCUGAAACCUCUUUUGGAUUCCAGGGGCAGUUAAUUUUUUUUUUUUUUUUUUUUUUACGUUUAAACUUGAUUUCUGACGUUGGAUGCUCAGUAAAAGGUCUGACCCACACGAGAUUAAUUUCUCAAGUACAAGGUCAGUUUAUUCCCGAGUAGCAACCUGACUUAGCUGAUAGUGAGUAGGGGGCCCGAGAAGGGAGGAGAGCAGCCGAGUUUCUAAGAUGCGUCCUCCGGGAGCCAUGCUCCUCACACCUGCAGGGCCCGGACCACGGAGCCGCACCUCCUGGUUCUCCUUCCUCUUGGAUCCGCGCAGCUCACUAUCUCCCCGCCCGGACACAUCUCCUAGUGUAAAAAAUCCUUCUUCAUGUAGACCAAGAACAUUUUAAAAACAACUUUUUUCAACUUCAGCUAUAUCGAGGUAAAAAUCGACAUAUAAAAUUCUGAGAUGUUUGAAGUGUGCAUUGUGGUGAUUUGAUGUACACACACAUUGCGAAAGGGGCCCCAUCUGGUUGGCCAUCCCACGUCUACCUUCUGUGUUUCUGCAGAGAACACUGAAGUCUCACCCUCUUAGCAAAUUCCAAUCAUGCAGUACCACGUUAUCAACUACAGUUGCCGCACUGUACGCGAGAUCGUCAGGCCUUCUCCAUCUUGUGGAGAUUCCACAGGUAAGUGACUCUCUACAGCAUUCAUCUCCCUCCGUCCGACUUAGUCCACUCAGCAGAAUGCGCUCAAUGUCCGCCCACGUUACUGCUGACAUAAGACAGGAAAAGAUGCCCAGCAUCACCCGCCAUCAGUGAAACGCACCUCAGAGCCACCGCGAGUCAUCCCCUCGCGCCUGUCACAGCGGCCAAACUCAAAAACACAAGAAGCCACCAGCGUCAGCGAGGAUGUGGAGAAAUGAGAAGGCUUGUGCCCCUUUGGUGGGAGCGUAAGUUGGUGCAGCUGCUGUGGAAAACAGUAUGGAGUUUCCUCAAAAAAUUAAAAAUUAGAAAUACAGUGUGAUCUAGCAAUCCCACUUCUGGUACAUACUCAAAGGAAAUGAAAUCAGGACGUGGAAGGAUCAUCCGGGCCCCGCCGCCCCCCCCCCCCGGCCCGCGCACCGUGGUCAAGACACGGAAGCAGCUAAUGCCCAUCAGCGGUGACCUGUCAACUUCGGGCUGAUUUCACCGCCUCUGCCCUUUCCUCUCAGAGGACAGUCUUCUCUGCCCCCUCCGGCCAGAUCCCCCUCCGGGUCAGGGCUGUGCUCCCCUGGCCUCUCCGCUGGAGGGACACGGACAGGUCACCACCCCUCGUCUUGUAGUGCCCGCAGGAAGGCACGUGGCCUUCUCUCUCUGUCUCCUCAGACCUUGACUUCGUUCCUGGGACCGGAGCCUUGCUGAACCCACAACAAACAGUGUAAACGAUCUCGGGCAGAUGCGGAGCUCUCCCAAGCACAGAGGGUUCACUAGAAUGAGGCGUCAAGUAUUAACCUGAUUGCAAGAAGUUGUUGUGGAAACAACACAACCCUUGAGCUGCUAGCACCUUGGGGUUCCUGGACCCCGUGUUACGGAAUUUACGACAGAGCUCAGGGGGUGCUUGGAGAUCGUCUGGCCUGUGUGAGUCACCGGAGGUCUGGGGGGAGGCUGGCCGCAGGUCCCUCUGCCAUCCCUGAUGGGGACACUCAGCUGGGGCCACGGCCUUCUGCUCCUGCCCAGACUUUGGGGCCACGCUGGCUGGAACUCGGGCCAGUGGAGGCAUCCGGCCCCCAGCCUGGACCUAGACUCUUCCCUGUAGGCCAGGCACAAGGGAGACGUAGGCUGCAGCCUGCAAACUGGGCAUUGAAAAGCCGACUGAGCAACAAUCCCAGUACCGCUCCCCCUUGGGUUCUCAGAUGACAGCAGGGCCCUCAAGCUCCUUCCUGAACCAACCGACCCUGCCACUCCCCACCCCUCAAGAAGGAAAGGGACAGACCAUAUCCAACACAAAAUAAACAUUUUGUUACAUAAUCUCACUCAA